This 42580-nucleotide long non-coding RNA is filed under the name Physcomitrium patens. Its description in RNAcentral is "long non-coding RNA (PPAT_LNC000705)". Lineage: Eukaryota; Viridiplantae; Streptophyta; Bryopsida; Funariales; Funariaceae. The record is from RNAcentral.
CUUUGUGUUAUAGGUCAUGCUCUACAAUUUCUAAAAUCUAUAGUAUUGAUCUUCUCUGCAACCCUAAUUGCAUGUUUAUAGAUUCCUUAGUUCUACCUUUUGCUAGACUCUAAGUUUCAAACCUUAUAGAAAUCCAUCCAUCAUCUCCACCUCUGAAAUAUUAUCAAUUUAAAAAUAUAGAGACUUGAGUCGAGAGACAUAAUCUUACACUGACCUAGAUUGUGUAAGAUUUAUCAAUUAAUCACAUACUAUCUUCUCCGCAUUAAUAGACCAAAAUUGAUUCCUAAACUUGGUCUCAAACUCCUUUGAAUUAUAAAAUCUACGUUGAAUUUUAUAACUUUGAACUUGAUAUUUCCACUAAAUGAUUGCCGCAUCUCUCAAGCAAUUGGUUUCAUAUAUAAUUCUUUUAGUGGUAUUUGCCUUAGAUAGUUAGAAGUAUUAUCAUAUGUUGAAGAGCCAUUGAUAUAUAUCUUCUUAUCUUGAAGUCUUAGAGUAUGUACUAGGUUUAUUCAAUUUCAGCCUAGAAUUAUUGACUCUUUUAUUCUAGAGGCUUCUAUUUGCCCCUGCAAAGUAGCUAUCUAGCCUAAGAGAUGUUAUAUUUGAACUUCCAUGUGGGAUUACUCUACCAUAUCUUCUAAGUUGUAAUUUUUUUGUAAGACUUCUCUAUUGUAAUGCCUUUUUGUCUUUCAUUUGAUUUUUUAAAAAUAACUCAUAGUAACCUCAACACAAUAUCUAGUGUAACUACAAUAAUUGACCUCGAACUAAAUGAUGGCUAUUGAUACACUAUCAAAUAACAAUCUAAGACUUGCUCUAAUACCAAUAAAAUAAGACCACUAUAUUUUGAAAGUCUAAGACUCUUCUAAUCCACAACAAUAUAAAAUCCCAUCACAAAAUAGGACAAAAUGGACUAGAAUAAAACUAAACACAACUAAAUAGAAUAGGACACAAAAGACAAAAUUGAAUAAAUAAAAAUAAAAUAAAACAUAAUUAAAUAAGAAGAUGCAAAAUCAAGCUUUACUAAGAAAGAAGAUUUGAAGCCAUACUUGAUCAAAUGUCCUAAAAGGCCCUGGUCAAUUCUAUUUAAACAUAUUCUAUUAUCCUAGACUUUCUAGAAUAUUCUUAAAUGAUAGACCUCAAUUAGAUAACUAUCCUAAACUCCUUUUAGGAGGUUCUAUGGUUAGAUAACUGUCCUAGGCUCUUUCUAAAAUGUUCUACAAUGGGUCUUAUAUGGUCAAUUAAUCUAGUCUCAAUUUUAAAAACUUCCAUAACUUCUCAAAUAUGGUUCCAACUAUCUAUUUCUAUCUGUCAACAAUACAAAUAUCUUAUCUAUACCAUGUUACAUGUAUGUUUUUAACAAGAUAUGACAUUAUAUUCAAAAUACUUAUACUUAGUUUAAAAUAUAAUAUUUUGUUAUUUUUUUUAAUUCAUAUCAUAUUAUACAUUUCUUAUAGAUUUAAUUUUGUACAUAUCUUUAUUUUAUUUAAUUAAUUAAUAAGUCUUAAUAUCAAAGAUAGAUAAUAUCUAUUUUUAUAGUAAUUUCAUUAAGUCUUCAAUAAUCCAUACAUAUCUAUAGUAAUCUAUCUAUUUUCUUUACAAAUAACAUUAGAACUCCUAUUAAAAAUUUUGACCAAAUUCUCAACAAUAUAUUUCUUAAAUACAGCCAAUUUUUUUGUAAUAAGCUAUAAAUUGGCUCAAAUGAUAAAUAAGUUCUUUCUAGAAGAUCAAUUGAGCAACUAUAAAGACAAUGCUUUGGAAGAAUAUUUAUAUUUUAUUUUAUCAAAAAUAUUUUGAUAACUAUUAUAUUCCUUAAAAUAUCACUUUCAAUUUUUUUUUAAUUUUAAAAUUAGAUGAGAUAGAAAUUACAAAAGAUGAAAAAAUAAAUUAUAAUAUGUAUAAAAAUUCUUAUAUCUAGCAAUAAAUAUUUGAUUUUAUUGGAAUAAAUUUUUUAUUAAAAUAAUAGAAAUUUAAAUUAUGCUAUGAAAAUAAUUAAGCUUAUAAGAAAUCCAAUAUAUUUAAGGAUUAUAUUUCUUUAGCUACAAAAAAUCUAAAAUAAUUAGAUUAAAUAAAAAAAUAUUGAAAUAUUAUGAAUAUUAUUUUUUAUAUAUAAAAAUAAUUUUAUAGAUAAUAUCUUGAAAAGAUAAUAAACAAUCAUCUAUGACCUCUUCAUGUACAUACUUAGUUUAUUUGAAUAAAGAUAUUUCAUAUUUUUUUACAAAGUUGUUAUAAAUAAAACAAGCUAAAAGUCUUAAAUCUAAUAAGGUAGAGACUUUUUAUUUUUUUAUUCUAAAAAAAUAUCUAUUAUAAAGCAAGAUGAAAAAUUUAAAAUAUAUAUAUAUAUAUAUGUAUGUGUGAUUUUUAUUAGAUAUUGUAUAAGAUUCUAAUUGCAUUGUUUUUAUUAUAAUUGAAUAAACUUAAUUUUUAAUACAUCAUCCUCUUUGACAACCAUGCUCGUCAUUUUGUCAUUACAUUGUUUGUUUGAAUAAUGUUGUGCAAUAAACUUAGAUUCUUUAUAAUAUAAGCACAAUAUUUUUUGUCAAUAUUAAGUCUUUUCUUACUCAAUGAAAGUUUAAAAUAUAUUUUAUCAAUUUUCAUAGAUUUUGGCCUUAAUGAAUUAAUUAUUGAAAACUUAGAAAUUAUUGAGAUGACUUGACUUAUUCUUCUUUACUCAAAUCUUUAUUCUUAGUGUCUUUUAAAAAAAUAAUUUUUGUAUGCAAUAGCUUAAGAAAUAAUUUUUUACAAUCAAUAUACUUUUAGUAUUGUCAACAAUAAAUCUUUUAUAUUAACUUUUAAUUCAUAUCAAAAUGAAUUAAUAAGGAUUUUUAUCAUUCUAAUCCACAUAGCAAGCAAGGUUUUAGAAUUCAUUAAUAUACAUGGUAGUUGAUAGUGAUCUUUGACAUAAAGAUAGGAUUUUUAUCUAUGCUAUUUUUUUAAUUAUUCUUCUAAAAUUAAUUAUAAAUACUUCCAUAAAUAAAUUUUAAAGGUAAAAUUUAUCAAUUUAUUUAUAUUAUAAGAUGGCCUUAUUGAAGAAUUGCUUGUACUUGGUGAUGUGAAGUAAAACAAAAAAAUAACAAGAAUAAAAGAAGAACAAAUAUAAAAGAAGUAAAAUAAACUUAAUCAAGUAAUUAUAAACUCUAAAAUUUAAUCACAAUUUAUUUAUUAGAAUUUUAUUUAAUAAAAAAAAUUAAAAAUUAAAAAUUAUUAUCUUUUCAAUGACAUAAGAAACAUAUAAAUCCAAUUGAUUAAAAAUAAGUUUUGAAGGUUUAAAGAUAAGAAGCAAAUAAUUAAAAAGUUAAAUAAAAAUAUUUUAUCUUAAGAAUAACUUGCUUAUAGAUUAAGGAUUUUAGCAACAUCAAGGCUCACAUGUAAUAUAAAAGGGUGCUCUAAAGAACCUUCAAGGCUUUAGUCUUAUCUUUAUGCCUACAUUCAAAAAGCUACAACCCAUAUGGAACUUGCGCACCUCUCUUCCUACAAAACCUAUACUAACUAUUUGUCUUCUUAUUUUCUACUAAUAGAAUUACUUUUUUGCAUUUUUAACUUCACCAUGGUAUCCAAAAAUAUCCAAUUAGCCUAAAAACCUCGUAGGGCAUUCAAAUAUUAUUCUAUUUCUUUAUAGUAGCUUCCAAGAUGGUAGAACUCAAUUUUACCAAAGUCAUGAAAAAUUUUCUAAAACUUUUUAAUUUUUUAAAAAUAAAUUCUAAUAAAAUUAUAAAAAAUUAUAUAAUAUAUUUAUAAUUAAAAUAUUAACUUCAGACUAUAUUUUAAUACCUUGGUGAUUUUUUUAAUAAUAAAAUCAAUUUAUAUCAACUAAAAAUUCUAUUUUCUACAUAAAUAAGUAAAAUAAAUAUGAAUUGUUUUUUAUUCCUUGUAAUUAUUAAUUGAUAUUAAUAGGAAUUUUUUAUAAAUAAUAUGUGUAGAUAAAAAUUCAAUUUGGAAAUUAAUAUCAACAACUAAAUAUUAAUAUUUAAUAGUAAAAAAAUUAAUAAACCAAUCAAAAUAAAUGCCUCUAAGACUUACUAAAAUUCUAUUCUUAUAUUUUUUUCGCUAAUAAGAAUUUUGUAACUUAUACAUAAUUCAAAACUCUAAAAAAUAUUUAAAUAAUCAAAAAGACUCUAAUCUUCAUUAUUCUAUGCCUAAAUGACUUAAAAUUAUAUUUUUGACCACUCUACCUAUUAAAAUCCAUUUAUAAAAUUUACAUGAAUUUAGAUCAUAUAAAAGUAGUGAUUUUUUUUUCCAUAAAAUGUGAAAAAAUUUUAAAAUAUCUUUUCUAGAUAGGAGUAUAUAUAUAAAUCUAACUUAAGUAAAUCCAUCAAGAUAAUGGAAAGAAUAUAAUUUUAAAUAGAAUUUGAGCUCUUGUAGGAAUCUUUAAAAUUUUGAUCUUAUUUCAUUAAUCUUCUUUAGUAUACUAAUCCUUACUUCUUUGAUAUUUGUAAUAGUAAAAAAAAAUGAUUCAAUUAUGUGAUUGAUCUACUUAUUUUCUUUAAUUACACAACUUCUUGGCAAAGAUAUUAGAUCUUAUUACUAAUAUCUUUCAUAGGUAUAGAAAUAGUAUUUCAAUAGUUAAUGUUGGUAAUUUGUGAAAUUUCUACUCUAAGAGUAUUGACAAGCUUGUGAAGAUUUGAAAUAGUUGCAAAUUUAAUCUCUCUUUUAAUAAGUAUAACAUCUAUAUUUUUUCCUUUUAUUUUUAUAAUAGAAAACUUUAACAUAUUUAGAAGUUAAAUUAAAAAAUAAACAAAAAAUAAAAAUAAAAAAUCUAAAACCUCUACUAUAAAAUUUAAAAAAUCCAUAAAAAGAUAUAAUUCAGUGUGUUUGAAGAAAGAAUUAAUGUUAAAAUUUAAAAAUUAAUAAUGAAUAGCCUUUAAAGCAUAAUAAAAGAAGUAAAAAAAUCCACUUAGUUCUAAAAAAAUAAAGAAUAAUAAAUUAGGAUUCUUAUCAAAUUAUCAAGGACAUAAAUCACAAAAAAUCAAAUGAUCAAUAUACUCAUAUGUCACUAAAAAAGAGUAGAUAUUCACUUAAAGUUUGUAUAAUUUUAAAACUAUAAGGACUAUUGCUAAAGAUAAAAAGAUUGAAGAUUCUUAAAAUAAGACUAAAAACAAAAAAUGUGUUGACAAGAAUGAAAAAGGUUUUAUUAUUGCAUCUAUAUGUACUAUCAAAUUAUGAAUUAUAUGGCAAUAUUCUAUAGGACCUCCAACACAUAUCCAACUUACAUAAAAAGUGUCUAAUUUGCAAGACAAGUUUCUUAUACAUAUGCCACAUGUCCAACUUGUAUUACAAGUGGCCAACUUAUCAAUUAUCUACAAACAUAUAUAAAAUCAAAUCUUCAUCUAUAAAGCCUCUAAAAAGAUUUUUUUACAAGAAAUUAUUAAAAUUAUAUAUUUUUAAUUAAUUCUAUCUAAUUCUUCUUAUUUAAAUAAUUAAUAGUAUUGGUUAUAUUUGUGACAUAUAUAACCUUUUAAAAUCUAUAUCAAUUUAGUUUUUAAACUACAUAUAUAUAUAUAUAUAUAUAUAUAUAUAUACCAUUUAUUAUUUUAAUAAAUUUUAUUUUUAAAUAAUAUAAUUUUUUUAAAUCAUUUUUUUGUUAUUAAUUUUUUAAUUAUAUGCUUCUUAAAAACAAUUUAGUUGAAGCUACUAUAUGCAUCUCUUUGCUCUAUAAUUUUGCAUGCAUAUCUUUAACUUAAGAAUAUCUUUGAAAUAAAAUUAUUUCAAAAAAAAUUAGAAUCAUAAGUAGCAAUUGUGUUUAGCACAAGUUUCACUAUGCCUUUUAAACAACACCAAAAAAUAUCUUUUUUAUCAACUUUGAAUGUUAUAAUCUUCCACCUGCAAUGACCUCAACAUAUAAGAUUUGUUUGAUUGAUUCUAAUAUAAGUUAAAAACAAGAUCUUAUGGUUGAAAGUAUUAAAAUAUUAAAAAAAUAAAAAUAAAGGUUAUUUUCUUAACACGGGUGUUUUUUUGCACUUUUGAAGUUUGGAGGAUAAGAUAACAUAAGGAACUUUAGGGAUUAAAAGGUGCUAUUCAAAAUGAAUAAUAAUAAUAAUAAUAAUAUAGUAAUAACAUUAAAAUUAAGAGGUACUAAAGAAAAAAGUAAUAAAAUAAAUAAUAAUAAUAAUAAUAAUAAUCAUCAAAAUAAGGAUUCUAAGACAAAGAAAAAAUAAUAAAUAUGACUAUAUAUAUAUAUAUAUAUAUAUAGCAUCAAUAAAUAAAUGCAACAUUACACAUAUAUCUUACAAAUAAGAAGAAGUUUGGAAAAAUAAGUGAAUGCAUCAUUAUCCAUAUAUUCUACAAAUAAUGAAAAGUUGGCAUAGACAUUCAAGCAUAUCACAACACAAAUACUAUAUAUAUAAAAAGUAAAAAGUAAAAACAAACCAUUGAAGACAAAAAAAAAAAAAAAAAAAAAAAAAAAAAAUACUACAAAGAAGAAACUUCAAAGACAAGAUAAUAAAGAUAAAAUAAAAAAUAAAAAAUAAAAAAAUAGCACAACCAGAACCACAACAUCAAAUCUCACAACUUAAUUAAAACAAAAACUACAAGAUUGCAAAUACACACAAGUAAUUUAAUCAAUAUAUUAAUCAAAAAGAACAGCCACACAAAGGAGUAGUGGAGUUAGAGAUGAAGACUAAAAUAAGGCUUUGAAGAAGUAUGAUAUCUUUCUUUGUUAAUUGGAUUUAUAUUAUAUUGUUGCUAUCGUCAGUUCUUGCAGAAAUAUACAUCUCGUUGUGGUCUCCCGAUAAUGGAAUUCUUACGUUCCGGAAAAUCCUCUGUCACAGAACGUCACAAAGUAAAAUAACAAUCCCUGCAAAUCCAUAGCCUUCACUUCACAAGCGCCUGUCCCAGUAAACCCAACUCCAUCCAAUCUAAGGUUGAAUACUCUGGUAAGCGUCUGUUAGCAAAACAUCUAUCUUUAUAAGUUGCAUGAGUGACCUCUAAAUGUACCCCAUAUCAAACAAGUUGUGAGCAGUCUCUUUUGGCCCGGAGACUCUCACCAGCCAUGCUUAGAACCGCUCUUCUGCAAACAGUUGUCUUACAAACCGAAACAUAACAAAUCUCAUGGCUGCACCAAAGCAUGGUGUGACUUGGAAGUCUUGCCCAACUAAGAAUUUGCACGUGGUUCCUCGUUGUACUCUUUACUAGGGGGGUCCACUUGACCCUGACAGAUGGGUGCUAUGUGACCUAAAAGUUGCUGCAAAACUCAGUCUGACGGUAUGGAAAAACUCCUCUCCCAGUAAAUCAAUUUGGCAUCGAUGGGAGAAGUUCACUGUAUCGCCCUGAGUUCACGGCAGGAACUGUCAUAUAAAAUUCGAUUUCCAAACCUUCACAACAGUGACAGAAGCUGGGUGUUGUGUGAUAAUAGAAUGAUGUUUGCUGGGUGUGGCGAGGUUUAGGCAACCAGUGGCAACCAUUAACGAACAAGCUCUUUACUUUCAAAUACUACAGACUAAAAGCAAAGUUUCGUCACUGUCAGAAUGCCAUGAUCUUGUGUGAUGAUGACUUCGUGUGUUCUAACAUUCUCGGGUUGUGGUGGUAGACACGACGAACCCAUAAUCGAAUUGAGGACAAGGCUGAAGUAUAUGAUGCCUAAACAUUGCUAACAGGUUUAUACUGGUUAAGUAGUAAUGUGAGGACAUCUCUAAAUAAAUGACGAUGCUGUAAUACUUCAGUGCGACGAAAGUGAGGGAAAAGCUCCACCUUUCUGUGCAUGGGAACCAAGUUCAGGUGAUGUCUUUUCCUAUCAUUCUAAGAACUUCAUCACAAUUUCAUCCAGUUGAAACUAGCAUCUCAAUGCAAUAAAAAAAUUAUGCAACACAAGCAAUAUAAAAAACUGCCGAUCUCUGAGUGCACUAGAACCAUUACCGCUUAUCAAAUAUAGCUCGCAACAAACUAUUAAAUUACCAUUUGACUGUUCAGACUUUUCACGCCUUAUGCGACAAUUAGCGAGAAGCAACUUCCUUAGUGCGACGAGAGUGCCUCCUUUUGGUCCUUGGUAGCAUCUGCGCCUCGAAUUAGUGAGCUAUCAAUAUCCCUAUGCCCGAGGCAUCAAUUCAACCUUAGGAUGAACUACUUUACACGAUUGAGGUCACGUUGUGCGGCUGUUUUGGCUAUUAGAAGACAAAAACUCAAAUUUCGAUUCCAGAGAAUUGUCAAUUUCACAUGUAAAACAGUUGAUGUUCAUGACGCCGAGUCUCGCCGAGUGCACAAUUCAAUUUCUCGGUACAUCUAUUUCUGGCAAACCUCACUCUGAACUGCACGAAUCAAAGUUAUAAUUAAGAGAAUACCUUCAUCAUAUUGAUCAGCAACUUUUGUUUUAAUGACCACUUUUAACAGUUUUACAUAACCUUUCCAUCCCUCUAAGUUUGGCUGUUUCUUGUGUUUUAGAUACAUAAAAGGUUGUUGUCGAUGGUAAGGAGCCUUGAUUGCUUCUUUAACUGGAAUAUCUAAACAUAGUAAAACAAUUGUUGGCACUAAUGUUAUGUUGUCUUUGCGCAUGGAGGGCCUAGAGUGUUUUCUCAUGAAAAAUGAUUGAUGAGAUAUCUAAUUUUGUUAAUUUCUUGUUGGAAGCCACUUCUAAUCAAGGUAAAGAAGUGGGUAAAAGAGAGAAGGAUAUUAUUUACUACAAUAACCUAUUGCAUUCUACAACGACAAGAAACAGGAGGCGAGGGAACAGGGAGUCACAACUAGAAAUAGGACGGUGGGUAAGAGAUUUCGGUUCGAACGAUCCAUCAAUGAAGUCAGUGCUCGUGUUAGGAUCUGAGGCCCAACUGAAUUGCGUGUGAUCGCCUCGAGGCUAUUUUGAUGGAUUUCGUGAGGAAAAAACCCUCGGUGUUUCCCACAUCGGUGUUGCUUGCGCUUUGUCUUGGCUUCAUUGGAGGAUUGCUCUUUGGCUAUUGCUUGUAUCUUACCGCUACUCUAAACGUUCCAUCUCCUGAGUUAACUGACACAAGACUAAGUACAAGUAAAGUUGUAUACGGGUCGAUAAAGUGUCCCGAUGUGCCGCCUUCAGUUCCUUGUGAGCCUUGUGUAGGUACUGUUGCAAACCAGACGAUAGGGUGUCCCGAAGUGCCGACUUGUGAGACUUGUGAAGCUAGCGGAAAUGGAAGCGGGUCGCAACAAGAUAUGGCUGAAGAUGAGGUUUUUGUCAAGAAUCUGCCUCAAAACUUUAUUCAUAAAACAACAGAUUAUCAUCGUAAAAACAUGACCAAGAUGCCCUACCAGGUUAGUGUUCAGAAAUCCAGCACCGACCUUAGGAUCUUACGGACACACAGUUUUAGGCUACACAGACCAGCUUCAGUUAUAGGUUUCAGUUUAAAGACGACUGGAGCGUAUUGUGCAUAAUUUAGUUUCAGUCUUCCUCAAAUUUUCUGCCUUGUGCAAUGGCACAGGACAGGCCUGGGCCCACGCCGAAGAGUCUGCUUGCAAUGGCCGUCGGAUUUAAACAAAGAGACCACGUUGAUGCUUAUCUUCAGAAGGUACAUCACAAACUCAUUCAUGAAUGUGCGCAUGCUGAUAGGCUAAUGAUAAGAAAGGUGAGAGGAAUAAAUGAUGAGUCCUUUCUCGUUGCGUGUGUUGCAGUUUGACGAGGAGCAUUUCCAGGUGGUGCUAUUUCACUACGACAACACGGUAGACAAAUGGAGAGACUUCGACUGGUUCCAACGCGUUGUCCACAUCCAGAGCGAAGGUCAAUCCAAGUGGUGGUUCACAAAACGGUUCUUGCAUCCCGAUGUGGUGGCUCCCUACGAAUACAUUUUCGUCUGGGACGAAGACCUCAACCUCACCAAUUGCGACCCUCUCAAGUCAGUUCCUGCUUCUACACUACUUCUCUUAUGGUCCAGCAGUUACUGCAAGUUCAACUUACCGGCAUUGCUGGCUCAGUAUCUGAUACGCCACUAUCUGUGACCAGAUUUAUAGACAUUAUGAAGAGGAAUCAGCUUCAGAUUGCGCAACCAGCGAUUGAGGGAGCUACCCACUGGCCGAUCACGAAACGUGUUACGGAAAACGGAAUUGAGAUGCACACUCGCACCUCCGAGGGAGGCCUAAAAGACAAGCCCUGCGUUAACGAAACCACAACUGGUGGCCCAUGUGAAGCGUGAGUGUCAUCACCAGAAUUUUGUCGUAAUCGUCGAGCGAUCGCAAAUUUGAACUGGGAGUCUGAAAACGAAUGCUUGUAUGGUAUGAACAGGUUUGUGGAGAUUCAGGCUCCUGUGUUCGAGCACAAGUCUUGGCGGUGCGUCUGGAACCUCCUUCAGGUGCUUAACAUCUUUCCUCAAAUCUUGUGCUCCGAACGGUAACAGCUAGAAGAGAGUAGGAUCGGUGAAUCGUCAUGGAGUGUUGCGUGACCAUCAAAUCUUAAACCCCGAACCUGAUAGCUGUAAUAUCGUUCAAGUUUCGCACGAAGUUGAUCCAUUGUACGCAAGGCAUUACAUCGCUUUCGACGGAGCAAGCAGCUAACCAAUCUAACAGGUUCUAGGGAUUCAUGUGUUGAACCGCAAUGCAGAACGAUUUGAUAAUGGCAUGGGGAAUCGAUUUCAUCCUCCGCGAAUGUGUCUCUGCACCGGCAGAGAAGCACAUGGGCAUCAUAGAUUCACAGUGGAUCCUACACGACAGCGCUCAAUCUCUCUACUCCAAGGUCUGUAACACCAGUCCAUCGUCACGAAACCAGCACGCUUUAGCAAAACUAUGUUUCAAUCCCAUGGUCUUGACUCCUGGCUUGCUACCAUCCUCACCACCUGGUGUUUCUGCGAAUUUGUGCAGGAGAAUCAGACCACGACGCAGUUCAGCUCACACCGAGAUAUGGUAACUAGCAUGACUUGAUCACCUCUCCUUGUCUCACACACCCCUCAUGACAUCUUCCUUUGUUCCAAGUAGGCCUCGUUUACCACCCGAAACCAGUUCGACUCUACCACAAACCAUUCCCCUUACCAAAUUCACCGUACUGCAUGUACCUAAUAACCACACCGUGUGUCUAAGCAGCUUUUGAAGAGGAGCUUCUGGGAGUAUUCAGAAACUAGAAGAAGGUGGGGGACAACAAACGCCACCAGAAACGCAGUCUGAUCCCAAAUCAUCAAACAUCUACUGGAACGUUUUCGAAAGUUCAACACAAUGUGGUUCCCCCUCCGAGGCGUCUCACUUUGGGAGAUAUGUUUGGAACGAAAUGAUCGUGCUUUUACCAAUACCGACUGGCCCAUGGAAAAGACCCACAAGUCGGAUCUGGCAAGGAUUCACAGAUUACGCUAGAAUUGCAAGGAAUAAGGUCGUGGAAAAUACUCAGGUUUACCUAUCUCGCUGUUACCCUAAACCCUAAAACCGGAGGGAUAGUAUAAAGCUUUCGACACCAGCUGGGGGAACAAUAUCGUAAUAUGCUCUAUACUCAAGCCAUUGCACCCUAAGAGGUUCCGUAUCCAAGGUAGAGUAGCUCCCCAAUAAGCCGGGGUUGUAACAUUACAUAUUGUAGGGUCCUGUAUUGAGUCGUGCUUUGGUUGGGAUUUCUGAGUCCUACUUAGACCAAAACACUUUGUACUGGUCCCCUGCAAUGAAUUUUCUUUAUAUGUAUCUUUGCAAACUCCAAGAAGUAUCUUAGAAAUGGACAUAGAAGUUUUUAAAUUUUUUAGAAGAAAAAAAAUAAGGUUUAAGAAAAUUGAUGAAGAAAUGUAACAAAUUAGAUCUAUAAGUUAUCUUAAAGUGGUACUUAUAUCUUAGUAUUACUAUUGUAGGAAUAUCAUUAAGCUUUGUCAAGUUAUCAUUAAUUAGAUAAUAAUAGAUUUAGGCAUAUUUAUAAGUCCAAAAGACAUAAUUUUUUAUUAAAUUAUAUAUGUAUACAAUUCAUACAAGAACUAAAAAACAAGUUAAAUAACUAAGAAGCAAAACAACAAUAAAUAAAUAAAAACGUUAUUCUUUUUAAUAUCAAGACAAUGGUAUUUGGUUGCAUAUUUAUUAAUAUUAUUUGAUACUACUAAAUUUCUCACAAAAUAUUAUUUCCAAUUAAAAUCACACAUUAAAUCUUAAAUUUCUUCUUCUGCUAAAGGCAAUAUGAAAUUUUCUUUAUAUGUAUCUUUAUAUUUCCAAUUAGAAUUACGCAUUAAAUCUUAAAUUUCUUUAUAUGUAACUUCUGCAUAAGGCAAUUAUUAUAUUAAUAAGAUCUUACACUUUAAGUAAUUAAAUAUAAGAUUAAAAUGAUUCACUUUAAAUUUGUGCACCUGCGUUUAAUUUAAUUAUACCAAGUAAAAAUAAUAUUAAAUAAUUGAUAAACUUGUAUACAAAUUGUAGUGAGUCAAACCAUAUUGUACAAAUUUGAAUUGAAUCAUUUUAAUCUAAUAUUUAAUUACUAAAAGUGUAAGAUCUUAUUAAUAUAAUAAUUUGACUUGACAAAAUGUACUUUGUAUAAUAUAAUAAAAUGUAAUAAUAUUUUAAAAUAAAAAUAAAAAUAUUCAAUAAUACAUUAAUGAAUAAAAUAACUAAAAAUAAUAAAAAUAUUUAAAUUUAUAUUUCAAUAUCAAUACAUAUUAAUAAAAAGACACAUUCUUUGUUAGUGCUUCUGUAAUUUAAUUCAACCACUCUUUGUCAAUUAAUUUUUAAAGAUUAUAUCAUAAUUCAUUUAAAUUUGCUAAAAGUUGUAAAGCCCUUGUAUAACAAUGAUACAAACUAAACUAAAUAAUGCUAGUAAAAAUUACUAAUUAUAUGUAUUACACUUUGAAUCUAUUGGAAUGGAUUGAAGGAUGCAAGUAUAGAAAAAAUUACAAUUGUUAAAAAAAAUCUUUAUUUUUAUUUUAAUUCCAAUAAAUGUAUAAAGCAUGUUAAUCUUAGUAUAUUUCUUAUAUCCAAUAAAUGUAUAAAGCAUGUUAAUCUUAGUAUAUUUCUUGGAUAUUAUCGUAGUCAAACAACACCAAAUUGGAUAUUAUGUAAUUCUUUAAUCAAUGCUUGUAAACUAAUUAAAGUAACAACAAUUCUCAAGUGUAUCAUUUUUUGUAGUAAAGAAAAAAAAAAUUAUAUUCUAUAUAUUACAUUCUAUUAGAAGUAUUAAUUCAAAUUAGUACAAUUGAUUUCAGACACUGAUUAUGGCCAUGCAACAGCUCGAAUAUGAAUAUAUAUAUAUAUAUAUAUAUACAUACCUUCCCUGAUUGCAUUAGAGCAAGGUAAUCAAUACCUCAUAUCUGAUUAGUUUAAACAGGACCCAGUUUUAUAGCAUGUCGACCCGAGUAGAACACCUGCUAGUAUUGAAAAUUCAUCCUAAUUCUUAAAUAUGUCGCGGGCCAUAUUCAUAAGAAUUAUUAUGAUUGUGAAUUAUUAUGAUUGUGAAUUAUUAUGAUUAUUCUCACACAAAUCAUAGAAUAUUUCUUCUACGCUGUUCAAUCCCAUUUUGCAAGCAAGCGUUGAACAUCCUAGUGCACAGCUCUGCUUCAACACUAGACUACAAGUACUGUGUGCUUUACAAUUUCUCGUCACUUUAUACCAGGUUGCUCGAGAAGGAUAUUGAGAAGUCGACAUUCUAGAAUACUCUCAUUGUGUGCUACUAUCAAUGAUUUGCCAUAAAUCACUGUACGAGACUAGGUAAUUGUAAAAUAAACAAAUUGAGUAUCCAUGCACUCACUGCUUAGUGACUUUAGAAUUUAAUCUAUUUCUGCACCUUGUAUUGUACUGUUGCUAAGAUUGCACCUUCCUGUGGUGGAUAUUAAGUAGCUGGAUAUUGAGAUCGGUUCAGGAUUGACGGUUCCAGACUUCAACCAUUUCAAGGGGCGGUAACCAGGGAUUAGGUUACACUCAACGUGUGAAACAUCCAAUGAUUUGAAUCGUAGUAAAUAUCCUCUCUCAGGACAGCUACGAUAGUUUUACGAUGUACUUUGGUUUUGUGCACAGUAUCUGCUUCAUCACUUAGCGGAAACAUUGUAUUAUAGCGUCUUGAGAGUGGCCACAGUCCUUGUUUGUAUUGAUUGCUGCACCGAUUCAAGCCAAAGCUGCUGUCGAGAAUAGCCACAUAGAGCUACACUCUAUCAACACCGACGGACGCGUGUACAGGUACAACGGAAGUGUGAGCGAGUUUUCCCGAAUAUGGAUCCGGUGCUUGUUGCUGGUUACGUGAUUCGGGCAUAGUGGAAGCAAUAGGACUCCCUCGAGGGACAACCCAGGCGACGAAUCGAGGAAUGUCGUCUCCGGGCAUUAUCACCGAGAUAGAUGCAGCCUGCAGAAAAAUUCAAAUUUCCUUGAAAUAUUGUCCUCUAAAUUUUCCUGAAAACAGCGAAAGUUUUAGAAAAGAGUGUGAUUCUUACUCUUGGAGGAUCACGAGUGUUGAUAGCAUCCACAGAAUGAUGAAAAGAAAUCGGUGGUGAUGAUGAUCGCGUGUCGUCAAGGAGCUCAGAAUGUCCGGUACUAUGGGCCUGGGAUUGAAGUCGCAUUUGUCCCUCCCACUGAUAGCAGCAGCAAAGAAUGGCACAAACUGCCAUUACCAUAAGAACAACUAUGCCAGUCACCAGGGUGACAUUCGUUCUUGAAUGCUUAGGAGGCGCUGGACUUAUAAGAGGAGGCCGGGCAUGGGUUCCCUGAAGAACUCUUCCCUCUUGAUAAACAGAUUCCCACUGAAACGACAUCAUUUGAGCUUCCAUUGCACUCAAUGCCUCUAAACCGACAAGAAGGAAGAUUGACAAGUAUCUAAUUACAAAAUUUCUACCCAUCUCCCACAUUCAUCUCCGAGGAGAAGGUGGGAAGAGCCAGCCAUGUCACCGUGCGGAAAGCUAUACCUGGGAAAUACUUCGUGAUGUCACAAAGUAGAACUCUGAAUACUACAGACGGUAAAGGACAUGAGCUACAGCACUUGAUCCCAAAUGACCGCCAGAGAAAAAUGACUCUACCUACAGUCACUGCGGUCCAUUUGUCAAUCUAGAUCCUACUUGGAAUGCUGACAAACUUCAGAUUGAUAGAAGAAAGAGAAACUUGAGAAAAUCUUCUUCCUUGGGACGAAAUUGUAGCCGCUGAUGUAAGUUCUUCCUGCAGAUGUCUAUCAGCAAACUACCCAAACCGCUGCAAAAACUUUUAAAAUGUUUGCAAUUUUCAACACAAGGUCUUCUUGAUCAUCUAACGACGUCUUCGAAGAGCUCAGAUGAGCUCAACAAUCGUACUACGGAUCUACAAAAAUAUUUUAUCCACGGCAGAUGGGGACAAUUUGGACGUCACCUGACAGUUACAGUUCAUGGCCAGCAGCACGAAUGAAUUCUGCCUACAAUGUCCGACACAUUCCUUAAGAACAGAAACAGAAGAACUGCACCCUGAGAAACCAUUUCAUGCUUCCACAAUCUAAACCCAACAUUAUAAGCUUCACCUGCUCACCGCGCUCCUCACAAAUCAAGCGUGGCUCAUAACGCCGUACAUGAACAUGGAAACACGUAAUUUCGGAGCCUCCCGCUGUUAAUUUCGAACAGAAAUAGUGGGACCCAACCUGCCCAUCUUCAUACACAAUCUGCAAAAUUUGAUACUCCAGCUAGAUUAGCUACCGGUCACUUUAACCAUAAAAUUUCAGCCCGACUUGGAUUAUUACAAAAGAUUAUUUGGAGCUUGAAAUCAAAGAUGCAGAUAUGAUACACCUGUAUAUUCAGGCAGUUAAAUGCCAUGCACCUGCCAAAACACAAAUUGUGUGAGGACGAAGACUCGAUUAAGAUCGACCAUGAGAAGAGUGCUAUCGGCGUAGUCAAAUAGACCCACACCUGCGGUUGAGGUGCCUUACCUUCGGCGGCAUAAACGCUGUUGUGAAAUUGGGGCUGGCUGCCAAAGCUGGUGACCAAGAAAGACUACAUCUGUGCGGUCAUCUGUGUUUUUGAAUGUGAAUUUCGGCUUUAGUCGACGGCGACUCCUUUGCAACUGGUAAGUUAUCGAUGUGGCUUACCGAUCGGCAAUGCACCCCCACUUCUACUUCUGUGACACUUUACCUGCAGCCUCAGCCUCCAAAUGGCUGCAACUGUGGAUCACUUCAUGUGCAACCGAAAAUAAUUUUAAAUAUUGUAUUUAGGUGGUCUGUAAGAACGUAGACUAGCCCCAAGAGCUCCACACUUAAACUGUGACGAAAUUCGUUCAAAAUAUUGGUGCAGAUGGAAAAUAGUGAGGGGACACUAAAAUGAAGAUAGUUUAGUCCUUGCCAUGAUCUUCCGAUGUCGCUAUUUGAUUUCUCAGGCGCCGUGUUAUUCAGCUUCAUAAAGAGUUUCAAUUUAAGGUGGAUACUAGUAGGAGUUACACGCCAAAGCCCCAACCAGUAAACAAUACCUUUCAACACGAUCCUUGGCGUCCGAUGGCUCCACUUGAGCGUCCUCUAGGCCAUGUAAGUUCUCAGAGACCAGAUGUCUCAACGUAUCCGUUCAGUUACAGCUACACAUGUCAAUUGUUACUCUGAAUAGAUGAUAAUGCAGUAUAUUAGGCGAAGAAUAACCUACUUGUCGCAAACCAUGAAGUCUGAAUUAACAGUAAAUACUCUUUUCUAACUUCGUUAAUGAACGCAUCGAAGAAAGAAAGAUAUAUUUUGUUAAGUUUCAAUACAUCAACACAGAUGGCAACCAACACAGAUGGUAACCACAGUAGCACUGACCGAGACACCUAAUUGACAUUUUUGACGAUGGCGUGAACGAGUAACAUUCCUUGGGCCGGUCGUUUGGAGUGUGCCACAAGCGAAUUGACCUGAGAGUCGGUUUCGAAGUACAGGAACUUAGUGGAGUGUUCUCGAAACAAGUCAAGAAUUAUAGAUGGACGAUACAUGUACUGCUCAUGAGUCCCAAGGCUUCUCAAACGUUUCAUACAUACCAGAUGUAUUGGAAGCGAUUAAAUUAGCAGAGAAGUGAGUGUAGAAAAGACAGAAGAAUGCCUUACGUAAGCACAUCUACGAAGCUGCUACUGAACUUGGACAAUUCCAACAAGCUGCAAAUUCUUCAGACCUUCCUGAAGGGACUCACAAGGUGCUCGAGAAGUACGCAUGAGAGGAGCGCCCCCGCCGCUCAGCCGACAAAUAUCCAAAACAAUAUGUACAUUUCUUUGUUCAAAAGCCUGACAGGACCAUUAGGACGAUAAAUUCACGUUCCAACAUGAAUAUGAUGCAAGAAUCGAGCACAUUCUAUGGCACCAAAACAUACUAGUGGCAGGUAAAAUUCAUAGAAGCACACUUCAAGCAAGAGAAUGACACCGAACAGGACAAUCUAGGUGAAGAAACCAACUCUUGAGCCAAACGUUGCGGUGGUGGCCGUUUGAAUCAAAACAUUGUAAAGGAAGCUUUUAGUGCGUAGUUUCGGAGGCACACAUCGUUGCAGGAGCGGCAACAGCUACGCCGGGAGCAUGCAAUGCAAUGAAAUCUGAACUUUGGCAGCUGCCUGUCUCCUUUGACCUUCAGCUUGUCUUUCAGCUGCUUUGUGAUCGAGAGAGACGAUGAUCUCUCCGCUAUUCCCAUUGAACCCUAAACCCUGGCCGCUCUUGUGGCCAUCCACUGAAGAUUAUUUCAGAUGUGUACAUUGUUUGUGAUAUUCCACUAAAACUUAAGAGCAUUCGUUUGAAGUGCGCCAUAAGUGAAUUGUGCAUCUAGUGUAACAGUUUCUUUGUUGUGUACUUCUGGUGUACCUUUUUGCUUUUUUCCUUUUUCAUUGCUGAAAUUACUGUAGGGUGAGGCAGGAUUUAGUAACUAAAAGCAUAUCUUUAAAUAUAUCAUGUUUGUUCAUUUUUAUUUUUUUUGAAGAAUGUUGUAUGUUUAAUUAUUGUUAGUAGUGUAAAAAAGAAAAUUAGUGUGGAAUUAUGUGCUUUUAUGAUUGAAAUUGUAGGAUGUUAAUUUCUACACAAUGAUUUUGCUUAGAUAAGUGUGUGUAAUUGUCAUUGGCAUCUUGUGAAUAUUAUGCUUGCCUAAAGAUAAAUAACAAAUACAACUUAGAAGUACAUGUAAUGUAUUUUUUAAAUAUUAUAAUUUUUUAUUAUUUUUUUGAAGAAAUAUAAAAUUGUUAAGAAUGUAUAUCUUCUUAGAGAUUAUUUUGUUGGAUGUCACUUUCAUUAUGAUUGUCUUAUUUUGAAUGUGAUUUUUUUUAGUUCUUGUAUUAGUUUAGAUGAUAAAGAAUAGUAAUUAGGUGUCUAUUACCUAUGAUUGCAACUUUUGUUUUGUAUUUAUCAUUAUUUUUAUUUAUUCAUUCUUAUAAUAAUAUAAAAUAAUGGUCUAUUAUUAAAACAAUAUCUCAUUUUUUUUCAUGUCUUUUAAUAUAAAUUUUAAUAUAAUAAUUUUUAAAAAAUAAGAUAUAUAUUAGUUAAUUUUUUCUAUGAAAUUUUUUGAAGAUUUUAUUACUUAACUCUUGGUAUAAAAAUUGAUUUUUGUCUUUUGAUGAUGUUUCUAGUAGUUGUAAAUUAUGUAGUUUUUAUUAAGUUUAAAUAAAGUGGAAGUACUAUUGUUGUAUUUUAUCAUUUUUAAAGUUGUGGCUUAGUGUCACAAACAUAUAUAUAUAUAUAUUUAUCUAAAUUAAAAGAAUUAAAUAUGAGUAAGUAGAAGUAAAUAAUUUGAUAAUAUCUUGUAGAAAAGCUUGUUAGAAGUUUCAUAGAUGCGGAUUUGACUUUAUAUGUAUUUGUAGAUGGUUGGUAAGUUGAAAACUUAGUCAAUAAGUUGACUAUGUGUCACACAUAUUAGUGACUUGUGAUACAAGUUGGUCAUUUAGCACAUAUGUAAAAAACUUGUCUUAGAAGUUAGGUAUGUAUUGGAAGUCCUAUAAAACGUUGCCAUGUAGCUCCUAGUUUAAUAGUAUAUAUAGAAGCAAGAGUGAGUCAUUCCUAACUCUAGUCAAUAUCUUUCUUGUUUUUAAUCUUGUUUUAAGAAUCUCUAAUCUUCUUGUUUUUGGCAAUAGUCAUUCUAGUAUUAAUAUCAUGCUAUUUUAAGUGAUUAUCUACUCUUUUUUAAUGCCAUAAGAGUGUAUUAAUUUUUUAAUUGCUUUUAAUUCAUGUCCUUGACAAUUUGAUAAGAGUGCUAAUUUACUAUUCUUGUUUUGUUUUAGAAGUGAGUGGAUUAUACUACUUUUUUUUGUUGUGAUUUAAAGGUUGUCAAUUCCUAUGUUUAAACUGAUGUUUUUUUCUUCUUACAUUGAUUCUUUCCUCAAAAAAAAUAAACUAUCUUUCUUUGUAAAAAAAUUGAGUUCAUAUAAGAGGUUGCCAAUUACCUUUCUCUAAUUUGAAUAGUAGAUUUGUUAAAGUCAUCUAUUAAAGAGAUAGAAGAAAAAAUUAUAGAUGCUAUACUUAAUAGAAGUAAGAAUAGAUUUGUAACUAUUGCAUAUCUUCACAAGUUUAGCAACAUUCUUAAGAUAGAAAUUUUAUGUAAAAUCAAUAUCAACCAUCAAGAUACUAUUCCUACACCUAUAAAAGAAGAUAGCAAUGAGAUUGAAUAUUUGCACCAAGAAGUUGUACAAUUGAGAGAAGCAAGUUAAUCAAUCUCACAAUUAAAUCCGAGAAGUCUUACAACUACAAGUAUUAAGGAAACAAGGAUUAGUAUGCAAGAGAAGUUUAACAGAAUAAGAUCAAAAUUUCAAGGAUUUUUAUAAUAAGUCAAGUUUUAUUUAAGAUUAUAUUUUUUUAAUAUUUUAAUAAAAUAUUCAAGUUGGAUUCAUAUGUGUAUUAUUAUUUAGAAGUAAUUCCUUUUUAUUUGUAAUUAUGAAUGAAUUUUUUUUGUAGAUUUUAUUUUAUUUAAAUUUAUUCUUAAAAAUAUUUAUGGCUGCAUUUGGAAAAAAACAAUCAAGAAAAUAUAGUAGAAAUAACCUCCUAUUUUUAUGACAAGAUUACAAUCAACUAUUACAUAUUGUCGAAUUCCAAAACAUUGUUUGUAAUGUACAUUGAAAUGAUAAAACUCUUAUUAAUCAAUUUUAAUAUAAAUUAAAAGAUAAUACCAAAGAUUUAUUAUUGACAAUGCCAAAAGCAAAUUGAUUAGAAGAAUUUAUUACUUAAGUCAUUGCAUGCAACAAUCACCUUUUUAAAAGAUGUCAAAAACAAAGAUUUGGUUAGAGAAGAACAAGAUAAGUCAUGACAAUAAUUCUUAAGUCUAUAAUAGAUGUUUGUUUUAAUUCCUAAGUUAUAAUAGAUGUUUGUUUUAAUUCCUAAGUCUAUAAUAGAUGUAUUUUUAAGAUAAAAAAAUUACGAAGUCUUUAUCUAUAUAAAGAAUUUAAUAUAUAAUAGUGUGAUAUCUUUUGAGAUUAUUUUAUUAUCAAUUCUUAUUGCAAGAGGUUAUAUGCAAAGUAUACAAUUGAAUACAUUGACAUUCACACCUUUAAACUCAUAGGUUAUUCCUUCUAUAUUUUCACAUAUGAGCUAUUGAUGUAUUUAUAUCAAAUUUUUAUAAAUAUUAUUCAUUGUCUUCCAAAAGUUGUAGCUUGAAUGUAUGUUUCUUUGGAAUUAAAGUCAACAUUGAAGUUGAGGCCCAUCAUUUAGCUAUUAAAUUCUAUAUAUAUCUUAAUCAUCUUUGUUCUUCAAUUUCUUAUUUAUGUUCCUUCACAUCUUUGUCAAAGUUGAUGAUAUUUACUUUGAAGUAGAACAUAGCUUUCCUCGAUGAACCUUGCCUUAUCACCAUUGGUCUUGUCUCUUAAGCUUUUUUUUUUUUUCUUAUGUUAAAAAUUCCAAAGGUCUUUGUGAAUUCUUCCUUGCAAUUCUCAUGACUUUUCAAUAUAUCAAAAAGAUGUAUUGAAAUGAUAUAAUAAAAUGUCAAUGAUAAAUCCUUUAUUAUAUAUCUUUAUUAUAAUUAUAAUAUAAAUUUAUGGCUAUCUAUAAUUAUUUUAAUAGAAUUUUAUAAUUUAAAUAAUUUUAUAAAAAAUAUAAAAAAUAAAUUUGAAUAAUUUGAAUAGUAGGUUUUAUUUGAAUAGUAAUAUUUGAAUUUAGUAAAAUCACUUUUUUCUAACCACCUUCUCUACCUAAGGUGGUUUUCAUCACCUUGUUGUUUCAUACUAACUUUUCUUUUUCAAGUCCUAUUUACAUUAUCUUUCCUUUAAAUUCUUUCCAUACUACUUUUCUCUUCUCAUUUUGACUUAUUUUUAAAUCAAGGUUUUUUUUUUAAAAUAUAUAUAUAUAUAUAUAUAUAUAUAUAUAUAUAUUCAAAUUAUUUUUAUGUCAAUUUUUUUUUUUUUUUUUUACAAAAUUAUUUCUAAAUUAUUCCUCAUAAAGGAUGUAAAAUUUAUUAUUUUAUCUUUUAUAUUAGUUUAAAUGGUUUAAAAUUUUAGAGUAUUUUUAAUAAUAAUUAUAGAUUUAAUAACAACACAGAAGCAUAUAAUUUUAUUUGUAUAACUAUCAAGGAUAUAAAGUAUAAAAAAAAAUUUAAAAAUAUAUAUAUAUUCUUGUAUUAAAAAAAAAAAAGUACAUAAAUCAAAGUAGAUUUAAGAUAGAAACUAAAAUGGCUAUUGCCAAAUGCAAACAAAGUAGAGAUUCUUAAGCAAAGACAAGAACACAAAAAAGGUGUUGUUAAGAAUGAAGAAGGAUUCAUUUUUGCUUCCAUGUAUAAUAUAUAACUAAAAAAUUAUGCAACAACAUAUUAUAAAUUAUCCAACAUGUAUCCAAUUUGCAAAACAUGUGUCUAACUUGCAAGGCAAGUUUCUCAUAUGCUACAUGGCCAACUUGUACCACAAGUGGUCAACAUAUGCAACAUCUAGUUCACUUGUAAAAAUAAGUAGUCAACAUGUACAAUAUGAAGCCAACUUAUUAGCCUAAUUUUUAACCUAUCAAUCACCUACAAACAAGUAUAAAAUCAAAUUUGCAUUCUUAAAGCUUCUAAAAAGCUUUUCCACAAGAUAUUAUCAAAUUUAUUUAUUUUUACUUCUAUCUAAUUCACAUUAUCAUCACGAUUACUUAAUCCAAUGUUGAUUUCCAUGACAAUAAUAUUAUAUAUUAUUUUUGAUUUAAAUUUAUUAACUCGAUUCUAUUUCACUCAAUUAUGAUUUGCAUGUGUGAUAAUUUAUUUCUUCAAAUUUAAGAGUAAAUUUAUGUUUUUUUAUUAUUAUAAAAUAUUAUAAUAAUUUAAAUUUUAGAAAUUUUAGAGAUUUUAAGAUGCUAUUAAAUCCAAAUAAUAUUUAAAUUAUUAUUUGAUAUAACUUUAGUACAAAAAGAUUUAAUUUAUAAAAAUAGAAUAAAAUAGAAGAAAUAAAAUAAAAAAAAAUAAGUUUUUAAAAUAUAGUUUUAAAACAUUUAUGAUAUAUUUAAGAUUAGGAUUUUAUGAUGCUAAUAUUUUAUAAAAUAUUUUUGAUACUAUUUUUAUAUAUGAAUUUAUUGUGUAUAUGAUUUGAUAUUAAUUUUUUAUACAAAUUUUAUUAUUUCUAUCAAUUAUCUUAUUAUAUGAAAAGUGUACAAUGAUCAAUUAUUUUUCUUUUUUAACAAUAAUUUGGUACAAUAAUAUGGCAUUGUUUAAAUUUUGUUGUUUGUAAUGAUUUUCUAUAUUUAGAAAAUAUAGAGGAUUUUUUUAUCUUAUGGAUGUAAUAUGCUUGAUUUUUUUAUUUUAAAUUCAUUUGUCAAAGAAAUAGUUAUUUGAUGGACUAAAUAAAGUAAAAAUAAAUUAUUAAAUGUGAUAAUUUAUAAUAAAUUUGAACUUAAAGAUCAUCUGAAUUUUUUUUAUUAACUAAUCAAUCAAGAUGCAAAGAAAUUUCUAUUUUCUUUUCUCUUUUUUCUUUUUGUUUAAGGAUUUUUUUAUAAUUGUAAUACUUGCAAAUAGAAUUUUUAUUUCUCUAAAAGACUCUUGUUUACAAUCACUACAAUUCUUCUCUCAAUGUCUUUAAUGUAGUCACAGAUCAAAAUUAAGGUUUUUAAAAUUUAGCAUACUUAUAAUGCUUUUGUAGGAUAUAAUAAAUUAGUUUUGAAUUCUUUUGAUUAUAAAUAGUCUUUGUAGUAAGACUCAUUUAGAUAUAUAUAUAUAUAUAUAUAUAUAUAUAUGAAGCAUUAAUUUUUUAAAAUUUUAAUUUUGUUUUACUUAGAAGUAAAAGAAAAAAAAUUAUGAUACUAUUCAAGUUUCUUAUUUUUUUAUUUUUUUAUAUAAGUAAAUUUAUAUUAAGAAUGGUAAUUACUUGUAGAUUUAUAACAUCACAUGUGAAACAUGCUCAAUUACCUUUUUAGGUCAUUAUAAUAAUUAUAUUUUCAAUUACCUUUACAUUUUAGGUCUUAUAGAAAAAGAACCAGAGAACAAAUUUUUGCCCCACCUUAAAAGAAGUCUCUAAUAUUUUUUUUUUUCUUUUAAAUAUGUAGAGCUUUGCAUAAGAGAUAGUAAGCCUUUUAUUAUAAGAUAGUUUAAUGGAUAAAUAAAGUUGUAGCUAAUAAAAGGAUAAAAGGUACUUUAUGUAUCUACAAAAGUAUCUUAGGAUUUUGUAAGAUACUUAGUUAUUAAGUUAUUUAAGUUUAGAAAUUAUAUUAGAAUCUUAAAUAUUAAAUAUUUAAUAUUUAAUAUAUAAUAUCAUAUUUCUAAUUAAUAAUAUUAAUAUUUAAUAGCUUUAUAAAAUUGUGUAUAAAAUCUAUAAAUAAUUAUUAACCCUUAUAUAAUAUUUAUAGUACUUAUAAUACAUAAUUUAUGUUUUUAUAAUAAAAUAAAAAAUAAAGUAAUUGUUAUUAGCCAUAUUUAAUACAUUUUAUACUACUAUCUAAUUAUAAUUUUUUAAUAUAAAUAAGAAUAACUUAGAAUAUAUAUAUUACAUUAUAUUAUAAUCGUAAAUAAAAACAACUAAAAAAAGAAAUUAUAAAUUAUAAUAGAAAUAAUUUACCUUAAUAAAGUGCAUCAAUUAUCUAAAUUAGUAUAGAAGAGUUGUAAAAAUGUAGUAACUACAUGUAUAUAUAUAUAUAUAUAUAUAUAUAUAUAUAUAUAUAUAUAUAUUUGAAGCUUGUCUAAAAUCUAAUUGUAGAUGUAAAACCAACUUAAAUAAAUAACAUUGAGUAAUAGUUGAAAAAAUCCAAAGUAAUUGAAUCUUAUCAAACAAUCAUAUAAUUUUACUUAUUUUUUAUAUGAUAUUAUAUUUGAAUAGUAUAUAUUGGAUUUAAUAAGAAGUAAAAUAGAUGAUUUUUAAAUUUCAUGAAUUUAAAUUAAAAUAUCAAUAAUUAUUAAAUAAUACUAAACUAAUAUAUAUAUAUAUAUAUAUAUAUAUAUACACACAUCUUACAUGCUAUUUCAAUAAUAGAUAUAUUUAUUUUUAUAUUAAGUUUAUAAAACUAUUUAUCAACCAUUUUUAUAAUAAAUUACUUUAAUUUUUUUUAAAUAUUAUUGUAUACAUUUUUGAAAUAGGCACAAUUGAUUGUAGUACCAAAACAACAAUCAUUGAAAUGAUUAAUGUGCAAAAUGUAGUUUGCAAUUAGUUGUUCUAAAAACUAGUGCAAGUUAAAGAAUAAAUAAAUAAAAAAUAAAAAACAUAUAUUUUUUGAUAGCAUGCAAAUUCAUACUUGAUAUUUAUAUAUAUUUAUAUAAAUACAUAUACUUAUUUAUAUAAAUAUAUAUACUUAUUUAUAUAAAUAUAUAUAUAUAUAUAUAUAUAUAUAACUAUAAAAUAAUUAUAAUUAUAAAUUUUUAAAAAAUCACAAAUAGAUCCUUCUUUUUUUUGAAAACAAUAUAUCAUCAAUACAUUAGUUGACUAUAGAGGUCAUUUGAAAUAAAGAAUAAGUUUUCUUAAUAUUUUUUUUUAAUUAAAUUUCAUAAAUAUGAUUGAAUCAAUUUUAAAAUUUUAAAAAUAUUCAAUAAAUUUCUCAUAUAUUAUUUUAUUUCAGAAUAUUGAAGAUUGUUUUUUAAAACACCAUUUCAGUUCUUAACGUUUUAAAACAUUUAAAACACUCUUUAUUUUAAAAAUGAAAUCUCAAGCCAGAUACAUUAAUUUUUAUUUUAGUAACAUAAAUAAAAUUCUUGCUUCAAUAUAUAAUAUAAAAAUCAACUGAUAUCAUUAAAUUUGAAUAUUUAAUAAAAUAAUAAAAGGUUUAAAAAUAAUUAAACUAUUAAAACGUUUAAUAUGAUUCAAGCUAUAUUCAUUAAUUAUUACUUAAUUAAACUUAUUAAUUCUGUAAAUUAUUUUAAAAAAAUAUUUUAUUUUUUAUAUGUAACAUAACACAUUAAGUAUAGUAAUGUGCAAUAAUGUACGCUUCUAUGAAGCGGGGUGGGGUGAAAUCUCACUCUCGAGAGAGGGCCCCAGCCCUCGAAUCCCAGGUGUCACCCGGGUGAGAUGAAAUCUCGAGAAAGAGAAAGUGGUCCUGAACCCUUGAAUACCGGGUAUCAAGCGGGGAACCCCUAUCGCUGUGGCCAUCAUCUGGAGAUGGUGCAUCACAGACAGACAAGGAGGCCAUGCAUGGGGCGGGUGGAAGCCUUGGCCAGGCUCCUAGACCCCGUCCCUAUUUUCGUUCGGAGACGAACGAAGACCGUCGAGAGGGACGACGGAAACCGCGGCGGAGACGAAGAACAGGAAUCGCGGUGACUGCCGCGUGACUUGGUUCUGCCAGCGUGCUCCCCAAUUGCUCCAUCUCGGCGGUUCAACAUUGUUGAAGCGGAAUCACGAGCUUGGAUAUGAUGGCGAUUGGCUGAUUCUGGCGUAGAAGGGCGCGGGGAGGGCGGAGUCGUCUCCAAUCAUUAGCUGGGACGGAACUUCUGCCCGCAUUCUUUACGUCCGGCUAUGGCGAUGUGCCACUUCCAUUUUUGGAUUCGGGAUCAUCAUCAUCGUCAUCAGCAUCAUCAUCGACAGCACCAGCACCAGCACCAGCAUCGGAGCAGCAAACUCUUGGUCGCGAUUGCGUAAGUGACUUUCUGUGCAGGUGCUGUGGAUUUGGACAUACAGUAGUGUGGUAGUGAUGGGAUCGAAACGGAGUUGGGACAGGGACAGGGCCUGUAGGUUAGGGGAACGCUGUACCGCGAGAUGACGACUAGUUUGGAGUGCUAGUUUAAGGGAUAAGUUUAGUAUCUAGGUUUGGGAGGGAGACUAGGCUGGUGCGCUUGGAGGAUGGACCGCGGAGAGCUCAGUAGAGGGUAGCGCUUGAGCACAGUAGGGCGUCGGAUGGUGGCAGCAUGUUGAAGAUUCGAGGUGCGUGCGUGAUGUGGCGGUGUUUUCUUUUCCCUUUUCUUUUCUUUUCUUUUUUGCUCAAGGGGGCACAGCAUGUUAGGGUGAUGAUGAAGAUGACGAACACGAUGAUGUUGAUGUUUCCCUUUCGAGAGUCCUAGUGAGAAGGAAAGGGAUCGUUUGGGUGUGAGUAUGUGAGCAUGGCAGUUGUACGGUGCGAGAGAGUGGGAAUGUUCGUGUCGGCAGAUUUGGGAGUGUUUGGAGACGUCCAAUAGAUAGACAGUUGUGUGAGAAGGUAGAUGCGAGGGCAGAGGUGUCAGAAGGUUCAUCUGGUGUUUCUUUUUGUCUCUGUGGUCUGAAUUUUGUGCAGUGUCGAUUGAGAUAGCGUAGUAGGGCAUGGAAAGCACAUGAUGCAAUUUCUGAAACCCUAAUUAAUGGCAUCUUAUGUAGGUCAGAAGUUUUGGACGAGGGUAAUAGUAAGUGUCUUACGCGGUAGAGUUGCAGGCAUAUGGAAAUGUGGAAGAUGGCAGAGAAUUUUAAAUGCAAUGUAAGCUCUUGCGUGAAUGUCUCGUAUCCCCUGACAAUUGGCUUUUAGGUUAACGCUUGUUUGUAACCUUCUGUUACAGAAGAAAGUAUUCGAGUCAGAUUAGAAAGAAUGAGGUGCUGGAUUAGAGCUAUCGGAUUUUGUAGGAAGAAAGUAGUUGAGCCCUCCUGUGAUCAAUCGAUUUACAGCUCUAGGUUGUGCAAUGCAGGUGUUCACUAUUGUUGUGAAGGUUGCUAUCAUUAUGGUGAAUUGACCGUUGGCUCUGAAUUGUUAUUAAACAUGGACCACCUCUGGUUUUAUCCUUGAGGGUUGAUGGAGAACUCACUUUCCACUCUCAGUUUGGGGAUUAGAACGCAGAGGUUGAGUGGAAGACAUCAUACAGUAAGGGGUCGGUCCACAAUCUCGUUGACAGAUUUGUCAGACAGAUAUGGCUCCUACUGUAAAUUAUUCUGAUUCUGAUAGGAGGGGAGCUCUGGAGGGGAAUCAUGUGACAGGCUUUCCAAAUGAACGAGAAGGUACUGUGUCGUCCACCGUCGAGACAGGCGAAAUGCAGCAACCUGGAUCGAAGUUAAGCAGUGAAAUUUCUGAACAAGGAAUGACAUCAGAGAUCCCUGCCUUGGACGACGGGAGGCGACGGAGCUCUCGUCUCAAAGGCAAGGCUUCUUCAAUACAUGCGGGUACUGAUGGUGGAAGUCCCCCUGUUAUUAAACAGCCAUCAGGUAGUGGAAGAAAAGGUAGGCGGAAGAAAGCUCCUACAGCAGAGAGUGUGCAAUGCAUUGGGGAUUCGGUUGAGGAAUCGAAGAACGAUGUUAAAGUCGGAGCUUUCCAUCAGGAUUCGACCAUGAAACCUGAGAACGCAGGUGCUAGUCCAGUGGAAGUUAGAACCCCAGUAGGUUACGCUUCGAUUUGUGGGGAACCGACAUUGCCACAUGAGACUGGUGAAGCGAAAACGGCAAGAGUCAAGAAAUCAGAGGACCUUGGUAUCCUCGAUGAUCCCCUUUGUGUGGUUAAAGAGAGUGCUGGAACCACUGGACCCGCCACACAUACAAGAGGGGAUUUUUGUGACAGUAAUAUAUUUGAAAAUCUUCAAAGUAUUGUGAUAUUACAUCCAGAAGAGAAUGCAAUCCACAACGAGGUUCCCAGUACAUCCAGAAGUGAGGCCCGAGAAAUGAUUGAAAUACGAGUUGCAGAUUUGCCGGAGGCGAACCUAAAGGAUGAAAAAUGUAGGCAAGGAUGCACUGGACUUAUCAAUGCUAAUUCUGAAGGUACAAGUCCUGUGAUAUCCGAUCAUAAGGAUGUCACAGCCAGAGUAGACGUUCAAUCACGUUGUGAAACCAUUUUUCAACUCCCCAAGGAUCUGACAGAAAUUGAGGCACAGCCUCAAGUGUCGGAUUCUAAAGAGGAGGAUGCGUCGAGAGAGAGUAAUAGCGCCUCAAAAGCAGGCGAAGACGCAUUCAAACUAAACGGGAAUGACGGAGAGGAUUCGAGUUCUGUGACCUCUCGGGAUGACGUCGCACAUACCACAGCUGCAAGCGUAGAUAAAGACAGUAAGGUCACAUGUGGUGAUAACGCAAGAGGUGGUAAGCGCCCUAACGGGCUUUCUCUUUCCUUUGUCGUCUUUUCUAGUGCUCGAUCUGCUAUUCCCGUCUUUUUAUUUGUGCGACAUCAAAUGAUAAGAAAGUAAACCUACAGAUACUGCUACUGGUCCUUCGCAAACUGCUCCAAAUGUUCAAUGGGAUGUGUAGACAAUUGGGUGUUUUGAAUCGUUUGCAGGUGCUACAAAACUUGCAUCUAAGGCCUCAUCAAGCGAUGUACACAUGGCCAGGAGUUCUGAAUUGCUAGCUGAAAAGACCAAACACUUACAAUCUGGGAAAGAGAUUUCUAUUUAUUUUGAGAAGAUCCAUGAUUAUGAUGACCAUGUGGGAAGUAGGAGCAGUUCAGAGGCUAAAAUCUCAAGGGUAUGUCCUUCCAAAAGCAGAACAUUAACUCUCGGUUCUCAGGCCUUAGAAAAUGGGAAUGAUGGUAAUCAAAAGACAUCCUCAAGUCCUUUGGAAGAGAGACCGACGUUGCAGACAGCUUUAGAAGCUGCCUGCCCUCAAUCAGGUAACAUAUUUUACAACUAAGUCACAUGUGCUAAAAACUAUAGAACUAAACUGGAAAAUUUGACUGACCUUCAAUAUAGUUUGGGUUAGCACUGUCAUUCACACCGUGUAGUCCUUCGAAUUGUAUGUGUCUCUUUUGGUUUGUUUUUCAAAAAAUAUACAAGUUCAAUUUUUGAAAUCUAUUGUCAGUUUGUUGUAGUGAGGAUGAUUGACGUAGAGAAAAAAGUUGGGAAGUGACAUGAAUCAGAACUUUUUCUGUCCUAGGUGUAAGUGAAUUCUUCUGGCAUGAGGUACUGUGUGGUGUCCUAGGUGUAAAUUAUUGCUGUCUCUUCUUCUUUUCAUCAGGUGGAGUAGAAGGUGCUUUGCUGCUUGACAAAAAGUCCGACUCACUCAAAUCAGUCAAUCAAGAGAUAGACGUAUCCACUGGUGAUGUUCCGGGUGCCGUGAAGGCUGACAGCAGUGUUGGUGAGUUGCUUCAUACUCUUUGACCAGUUUGAAUCUUCAGGGUGAAGCCUGCUUCUUUUUUCUUUUUCUUUUUUGAGAUUUUUUUCUCCUUUCCGUUGUCUAUUUUUUAGAGGUCCUUUACUAAUGCCUUAAUUGUGUUCUGUCAGUGGUUACAGAAAGUCUCUCAAGGCAGACUAAAAAUACUGCUGUUGGAGAAGACGAUUCGAGUGGUGUAACUGAGGGUGAUGAAAACACUACUAGUGAGAAGGUGGAUGAGAGCAUUAGCAUCGACUCUAAAGCUGGAUGGGUUAAGUGUGACGAUUGUAAGAAGUGGCGUAGCAUUCCAGUGGAGCUUGCUGAGAAGAUAGGGGACACAAAUGUCUAUUGGUAAAUUUUCUAUUUUUGACCUUUGGGUUGACACGCAAGUAUCUUCGAUAGAUUUAUCUGAUUUGUUUUGGCUGAUGAUUGUUUCAUUAAUUUACUGUAACUAUUUGAUAAUUUUGUUGAGAUUGUUACCUUCCAGAAUACUUUCAAAUAGGUUUGAUAACCCAUAGGGAUUAUCUUAAAGGCAAAAUUUUAAUAGCGAUCAUCUACGAAAUAGGCUGGAUGCCCACUAUUGGAUCUGAUUUAGUUUUAGUGCAAGGAAUCAUUUUAUGUUAUUCUGACUUAUUAGUUUUCCACUUGCAAGGAUGACAUCAUGAAGUAGAUGUAGGAUGCUAUUUGAACUUUUCAGUCGCCAGAAUAGAAGUUCAAUGUCUAGUAUCUAAUGUGUGGCAACUGUCGCUUUAUUAGAUAUUAAUACUGGAAAGAUAUUGACUGUUGAUUACUCUGGACUUGAGAGCAACUAUGCUGGACACUGCCAGCUGAAGAACCCUUGUUGAGCAUAGGGUUACUAAUAUUGGAUAGGGACAAGUUUUUUUGUAGUUUUUAUCGAAGACUAAGCGAAACUUCUUUCUGCAGGUCAUGUAAGGAGAAUCCGAAUAAGCAGUUCGCAGAUUGCUCUAUCCCUCAAGUGAAAAGCAACGAAGAAAUAAAUAGAGAUCUAGGAAUUUCUGAAAGCUCCUUUUGUGAUGAAGAUGAAGAUGGAAAAGAAGAUGAAACCUGUGAUUCUAGGCCCAUGUAUAACGGUAUACAAGGUGCGGGAGUGAUUAAUGUUCUAUUGCCAUUUUUUCUAUUUGUACAGGAUUUCAUUUAAUAUCGUGCAAUUCAUAUCCUUAGUUUUGACAUGACAUUGUAUGGGUUUUUAUUUGGGAUUUUUGAGAUGGAGUUUUAAGCUGUGGCAGAGAAUGGACAAGCUGUGUGGACGCUUAUAAAGCGAAAUAUUUUCAAACACCGCAACCAAAAACACCAAGAUGCUGAUGAGGUAGUUUUGAAUGAGUUCGCAUACUUGAAACCUGUUUGGAUGUGAAUAAAGCGAGUGCAAUUAACAGUGUAUGUUUUUUGGUGUUUAAAGUUUUCUUUUGUAUUUUUCCCUCAGGCAAUGGUAUGUCAGUGUGCGCCUCCUAAACCGGGGGAAGUUGGCUGCGGCGAGGACUGCUUAAAUCGAAUACUCAAUGUCGAGUGCUUGCCGCAACAAUGUCCAUGUGGACCAUUGUGCACAAAUCAGCAGGUGUGUUUAGAAUGUUGGCUUUCCUGUAGUUUAGCGCUUGAUGGUUCCUACAUUCCAGUAUUUUCUUUUCGUCUUAUGGAUAAGAAUUUGUAUCGGGUUUCUUUUGUUUGAUUUUUUUCCUUUUGCGUGAAAACAAAGUUUGUUUGCUUUGAGGUCUCAUGAUGUCUUAUAUUGCAGUUCCAAAAGCGGACUUACGCAAAUGUGGAACUAUUUCGAUGCGGGAAAAAAGGCCAUGGACUUCGAGCCCUGGAGAACAUACCAAGGGGCACAUUUAUCAUAGAGUAUGUUGGGGAGGUACGUCAUUUUUUCCCUCGAGCAAGCUUGGUUUCUUUAUUUUCUCUGUGUUAGGUCAUGCAUGAUGCUUGUUGGAGUGAUGUCAAGGUUCCUGGUAGUAGAAGUGUUAUAUAAUGUGUAAGCUAAUCUUUAUGCAGAUGAGUUGUGUUUUGUUCAAGAUUUGUUUUCUUCUCAUCUGUGCCUUUGCAUUCUUUUUCUGUCUUAUCAUGUGGCUUACCUUUCUUUCGUUGUCCGCUUCAGUUAGAUCGUCUUUGAUUUGUGCAAUGACAUUUGCUGAUUUGCUGCUUCUUUUUCCAGGUGUUGGACAUGCCAUCUUUUGAAGCGCGUCAAAAGGAAUAUUCGAUGAAUUCUCAAAAGCAUUUCUAUUUUAUGACAUUGAGUGCCAAUGAGGUAAUCUCUUGCUUUGACAUUGUGAUCACUUUGUAGAAAGAUGAACUUGAGGUUUAGCAGUACAACUGUGGACCUUUCGAAGCAAGUCUAUGUCGUCCUCGCCACUUUUCAAAUAAUUAUUGUUAUCCUCUGAGAUGUCUAGUUCUUUUGAAUUGCCUCGACGUACAAUUCUUAGUUAAAGUUCAGUCCUAAAAUUUGUGCUUUCUAUCAUACAUGAGAGUUUUGAAGACUAGCGAUGUGGAUGAACGCAUCAGAUUUUGAAAUGAGAUUCAUCAGCUAUAAAAGGGGCUCCGGUUUUGCAGAUUAUUGAUGCUUGCAAUAAAGGCAACUUGGGGCGUUUUAUUAAUCAUAGUUGUGAGCCCAACUGUCAAACGGAGAAGGUACUCGAGUUGAAAUUCUGCCACUCGGAGGAUGUCAUCUUGUUUCUGUGCUCUCCCUUGUUUUAAAGACAUUUGAAUUGUUAAAUCCUGGAAAUAUUAUAAUAUUUUCUUAGUGUGAUUUUUAGACUUGAUUAUCGUAUAUUUUUUUGGUAUACUCGCUUUUUCUACUCGAGCUGGAACUGGAAGCUUCACUUAGUUUUUUGUCAAUUGAACUAAUUAUAUUUCACGAUUAUGGAUCAAAUAGUCGCAGAGUGACAGAGGUUUGCAGCAAGUAGGUGCAGGUGAAUUAUCGGAAGGAGUUUUUAUAAUGAUCUGUCUUUUUCUCACUUGGGGUGCGUUUGGUUGUAGUGGAUGGUGGACGGUGAAGUCUGUAUUGGGCUUUUCGCUAUCCGUGAUAUAAAAGAGGUACCUCUUUUAGUGUCCCUUGUGGAAAUCUUUUUAAUUUUUAGGUUGAUAAUGAUGAAGUAAGACGUCGUUUUGAACAUCGCUUGUUUUUGUUGAAGCUCUAAAUUACUUGAAGUAUGAGGUAUCGAAGGCAACACUUUGUUUUAACAACAUUGAUUAAUCUUUGUACAAGUAGCAAGUAGCUAAACAUUGUCGUAUCGCUGUCGCCAGAGAGAAGAGGUCACCUUUGAUUACAACUUUGUACGUGUUGGUGGCGCUGAUGCCAAGAAGUGUGAGUGUGGUGCAAGUAAAUGUCGAGGUUUCAUUGGGGUUGACCCAGACACUCCACAGAACGUUGUGGAUGUUGAUAGUGAUGAUGGAGAGGAUCCAGAACCUAUCAUGUUAUACGCAGAAAGCGACGAGGAACGUGAUAUUGCAGCCGGGAAAUCAAAAGAAGGGGCGGCAAAGAAAGCAAGAAUAACAGCAGGCAGUGAGAGCAUGUACGAUAACAAUUGGAAAUUUGGAGGAGUGAAACGUAAGUUUUACUCAGGAAGAGCGAAAGACCUGGUAAGCCCGAAGAGAUCAAGACGAGUAAAGACAGCAGCAGUUUCUAAAGUAGGAAGCCACAGAUCAGCACCAUCAAGACUUUUUGCUGCCUCUCGCUUUGGCACUCGCAAUACUUACCACAGUGAUGGUAUGAGACUGACCACUUCACACAUUUCUCAUUAUUUGCUUUGUUUUAUCACGUCUUACCUUUUUCUUGGUUCAAUUUGUGCAUACUAGGGCGAAGUUUUGUAGUUUUUAAAUCUCUGGGAAUACUUGUUACUACCUGUUGUGUAGCAUAACACUUAGUAACCUUCUCACACUUUGAAUGGUUGUAAAAAUCUGAGUUCCUUGUGUACAAGCAUGGCAACACAUGUUGUCUGUGUAAUUCUUCAGCAUAUGGAAUAAGUAACUUCACACUCGUGCAAACCUCGUGCUUAGAAAUGAUUGGUUGUUAUCCAAUGGUGUAGCAAUUCUGUUAGUUAUGCUCUGCUCUUGUUUUUGCAGUUGAAGAGAAAUUGGGAGAAUUGACGAAUGAGUUUGGAGGGCUUCGAAAACAAAAGGUUAGUCAUUGAUGCCCCUACAUUAAUUCUUGAUGCUUACGUUAGUGGUCCAGAUCUUUGAAGCGCUCGAGAUAUUAUGCCUGUUCUGUUCUGUUCUGUUCAUUCCGAAAUAUAUAGAGACCCCUGAUAUGAUGAUCACUUGUGAUCGCAGGACGCUGCAAAACAGUAUCUAAAGCUGUUGGUGCUUACAGCAGCUUCUGGUGGCAAUGUGAACGGGGCUGCUGCCUGCAGGUUUGUGAUUCAUUUAUUAUAUUUUUUAGCUCUCUUUUUAGUUGUUGUGUAGUAAUAAUCUAGUUUGUCGAUGCUUCAAUUUGAAUUUUAUAACAAAAUUUGAAUGGGAAAAAUCCUCAAUAGUUUCUUCAUGGCAGCAGUGCUCGUGACCUAUCGAUGCUUUUGGAGGCACUUCUCAAGACUCAAAAGUCGAGUUUGCUGAAGGACAUCAUGGACAAGAAUGGUAUGGAUUUAGAUUGCUGUUUUAUUAGUUCUUGCAGUCUUAUUUUAUGACGCAACGUUAAUAGAUACAUACACAAGUUACGUUUGUAAUUUCAUACACUUCAUAGAAGUCGUUAUGAUCUUAGUGCCGUACCAUAGCUAUGAAUUGAAGCACGAUGAACGACUUUAGAUCAAACAUUGUGAAUGUCUCAAUUUCUGUCUAUAUUGUGGCGUGGAGUGCAGGUUUACAGAUGUUUCACAACUUGCUUAAGCAGUUUCGGAAGUCCUUCGAGAAGAGACCAAUCCUUCGGAAGCUGCUUAAGGUUCUAAGUUUCACUCCGAACUUCCUCUCAUGAUCUGGCUUACUAUAAAUGCUUCUUCAUGAGCGUGUACCGGCAGUCACGUCAAGUUGCUAUAAUGAUCAGUGCUUGAAUGUCUAACGCUGAUAGUUCGCAUUUUCCUUGCAAUUCAUGAAGGAUAAGUUGAUGGUAGUGCAGAUUUGAUUGCAACCCUUUUACUCUCAUUGCUAAGAUGAACAAUGUGCAGAGAACAUGUAAUUUCUUUAUGUUCACUAUGAGAUGUUUUUAUUACUAAUGUAUUAUAGUUUCUAUGUUUAAGGUUUUGGAUCAUUUAGCAAAAAGGAGGGUUUUAACAGUCGAGCACAUUUUUAGCCCUCCGCGAUCAGGCAAUGAAUGGUAAUCCUGUUAACACUUGUUGGUGGUGUUAAUUGUAUUAUACCUAUCUUUUAUUUUUUUUUUACUAUCACUGACUUUUCUCGCCAUCGCGCAAUCAUCUAAGUGACUAGCAAUAAUAUGUUCACCGCCUGCUGACCAUGGUUCUGACCGUAACCAUGUGUGUAUGUACAGCUUUUCCGACACACUCUUUGACCUUUCUAGGCAUGAUGAUAUGGAGGUAUUUUUCAGCCUGAUUUUAUUCUUUUCUUCGGCAUGAAUGUUGUGAUGGUAGUGGAGCUUGUCAGGUCAUGUGUGCGUCAGAAAAUUUCUUUGUCUGUGAAGAUGCUCAUAUGUUGACCCUCGAAUUAAUGAUGCAGGUUCAGAAUAUGGCUCGUAAUUUUCGGAAACUAUAUGUUCCACCGCGGCCUCAUAAGCCUGUCGUAAAUACUGAACGGCCCCUAGUUAAACCACAUUUGCCACAAACGACUGUUACCCUCCCCUCACCCUUAGUGAUGGAGUCUCCUCAAGUAGGCUCAUCGGCUAAUAAUUCAGUGGAACAGCCAGUAGAAGGUAACUCAGCAAACCCUCCUACAGGUAGUGGGCGGAAAAGGCCAAGUAGGUGGGACACUGUUACAGAUUCUGAUGCACCCUAUGAAGCAAGCGCGCCAUUAGGGACGCCAAACCCAGCGCUGUAUGGCGCUGUCCAUCAUCAGCAAGUCGGUUCAUCAGAGCAGGGUGCUUCCGGCUUCACACCCAGAAGUCAUCUUUCAGCAGCUUCAGGUUCGCAACAAACAUCUACGACUAUUUCCUCAGAUCACUCACAAAAGCCUUCAGUAUCUUCAACGCCAGCAGGAAUACCAGGACGAGCUUCAGGACCCCCUCCACCUGCUCAACAUCAUGCUGGUCAUCAUGUAGUUCAGGCUGGGGGAUUGCAACAUCAAGGUUUUCCACCUGGUCAUAUUCCCGUUCCGAUGCCUGGUCAAAGACCAGCCAUUUCUCCUGGGCCCGUACACUUGGGCAUGCCUAGGAAUCCCAUGGGUAAUGAUACGCCUCCAAUGUCACAAAGACCAUGUAUUGGAGGGAAGCUGCUGAGACCAGAUAUGGUAUCUGGACCACACCCCAUGCAAGGCGGCCCCUUGCAAAUACCAGCAGUCGGUAUGCAUCCUUUACCUUAUGCAUACCAUCGAGGUCACCCUAACCAGGCUGUUCCACUCGUGCCCGCUAUGCCCUCCGUGCAAUGGCCGAUGAUGUACCCUGUGUUUGGCGGGGCUUCCUUUCCACCGCCACCUCAACCUCAACCUUGGCGACAUAGUGGCCCGAGGCCGAUGGAUGGUUUUGCUGGCCAUGCUUUUGGGUUAGGCAGAGAAGGUUCUGAAGACAGUAGAGGUCAAGCGAAGCAUAGCUAUCCCGUCUCACAAAGCUCGAGUAUGAAAAGUACGAGUAAUGAGCCGAGAGAACCAGAGACGGCAGGAGAACCUCCCAUACCAGGAAUGUCCCCUACAAGCCUCCGAGGCAAUCGUACGUUAGAAAGAACCAUUGCCGGGUUACCUGAGCCAGCACAACGUUCUGCUAGGUCUUACAACGAAAGUAGAGUUACAAGGUUAGAAGCUCCUCCACAUACUCAAAGAGAACACGAGGCAAAGACAAGGGGUUAUGAUUCAAAUACGAUGAGUCGUUCUCGUAGCAUACCAAGCGAUGUAGUGUCUAUACAACAGGUCUACACUCACCCAGAAUAUAGGGAAGGUGUGCAAGACAAAGGCCAAAGAGAGAUGAGUUGGGAUACCCCUGAAUGUUCAAGCUUCCACCACCAUGUAAGCUCUUGCAUUUUGCAGCACCUUUUCCAACUUGGAUGUGUGAAGUUAAUUGAUUAUUCAUCGAAGUCGUGUGAGUUCAUCUCUGAUUUCCUAUGAGUUAUGCAGGUGUCAGGUAUGGUACGUGCCCGAGUUGAGAUGAAACAAUUGGUAAGUGAAGGCUUUUCAAAUUUUAACAACUUGUUAAUGAUUAAAUCGUUUUAUGGCACAGUAAUCUGAUUGCUUUUCAUCCUGUCCGUGUUCAAAGUUAUCUCACUAAUGGAUACUGUUCUGAUUCUUAAGGUACAUUAUAAGGACUUGGAGAAGUUUUGCAGCAAGCUAACUGAAGUCGUCACUCGUAAGGAGAUCAAAAAGCAUAGAGAAAACAAAACACAGGUGAAGAUAUGCUCUGCAGUAAUGGUUAGCAUGACGUUCAUAUUCCAUUGUUGCGGAAAAUAAAUUUGGUAGUUAAUAUAAAAAGUAUGUCUGGUUGUAUGCAGGGAAUGACGAAAGUAAUCCUCAGAAGCAAACUACUGGAGAAGGUGGAUGCUUACGUAGACUUGCAAAUUGGGCUUUAUAGUAAAUCGAGCAAAUUGAAGAGUGGCGAAGGGCAGUCCUGAAGGAAGCCACCAGCAUCUGGUCCAGUUCAGCGGCUUUUGUACAGUAGUCCCAAAGAAGCCCCACCCAACUUUUGCGUUCUAGUGUAGACUUAUUCUUCGAAAUAAUGGCAACAAACACGGGGCACCGCUUGAUGCUUGUGUCCCAUCUUACAAAAAUUUACAAUGUUGUGGCAACCAUUUACCCCAGGUUAAUGAAACAAUUUUCUUUUCUUCCAGUCCCUAGAAAUUAUAUGGAUGAUAGGAGGUUGUUUCUGGGGUGGAGCUGCUUGAAUUGUUAUUUUUCCCUUAAUCGUCGACACGAUUAGGUCGCAGGUGUUAUAAUGUAUAUCACCGUGUUUUCUGUGCGGUUAUUCACACUGCUCCUGAUGUUCCUGACCUAUGCAGGACCAGUCAAAAAUUCUUUUGAUGUCUACUGCACACUUUUUUAUUCUAAUCUGUGAGUUACAUGCUUCUCGUCGUGAUUAAAAAAGAACUAGUUGUCUAGGUAACGCCAAGGUUAACAAGACAAUCACAUUCAGGGGGAACUUUGUAAUUCAGCAUAGAUACUGGCAUGUGUCCGCCAUGCAACUGUCUUUUCAAGCAGCUAAAAGUAAUCCAUUGUAUUGUGAACUGGUACCAGGUCACCACACUAAUUUCAAAGGCAUCACCCUAUCAGCUUGCCAGUUGCAUCCAUCAACUCGAGAAACGGGAGUAAGAGGUGCGAAAUCUUGUGAACCAGAUAAAAAGAUUUCCUCAAGUUUGCUGUUUUUGAUUAUCUUGGUUGAAGUGUUCAGUGUCUACAGUAUACUUCUAAUGUUCUCUAUCACAAGCAGUAUGGUUUUGCCUUCGUCGACGUCGAGAGAUUCCCAUUUUGAUAUAGUCUUGCUGCACACCUGGCUUUCAGGAUUUAGGCUUUUUAUCCUGGGAUGUUUUGUUCUGACGUUUCUAACCUACAACAGAUAUUUCCACAGGCAGAAAUUCAGACCCUAGAGUUUGUGAGCUUCUGUUGUUUGUACACUAGGUUCAACUUUUGAAUAAUAAUGAUACUGAUAUGUUCAGUAGCUAAUCAUAUUGGUUUAACGACGGAGGAGGUGCAAUAUCCUUUUCCAAUUCAACUUGUUCCCUUGUAAGCAGCUGAGUAGAUUCAGACUUGGGCUUUUAUUGUCCGAGUUCAUCUUCAUCCAAGAGAAAUUCCUUCGCAAGUCGGGCUAGUGAAGAACGUUGAUUCAUAUUUGCCUAGGCUGUAGAAUAAGAAAUAAUUUUUUUUUUACGGCUAAAAUCUUUCAAUCCAUGUUAUAUGACAACUCCAGUGUAGUCUUGUGUUACUUCUAUAACCAAGCAGAUUGUAAAUUAUCCCACCAGUGAAUGAUAUUAUACAGUACACUGCAAAAACUCAAUAAUCAAAGAAUUAAAGUGUUGACUGUUUAUUGGCGGCUCUUUGGUGUUGCUAUGCUCUUUUGCAUCUCUCUAUCAGAUUUUAAGCAAAUAUGGCCUUUUCAAAUCUGAUCUAUUUUUUAUUGUGAAGUAUAGACUCUUCGCACAGUCGGAGUGGUUGCCAUGGGUGGUAUUGAGAGGAAAAGUGUUCUAUUUUAUGAUAUGCAGAAUAUUGGCGCCACAAUGCUACUUCAUCUUGCAAUUUGCACGUUUGGGGGACUAUACCUCAAUUGUAUAUUUGGAAGCAUGCGUUUCAUGAAUUCGAUGUAGAAGAUUAUAUUGUUUGGAGUUUGUUCAUUCCAUUCAUCAAAAAAGACUAACAAUAUUUGUCAUGGUCAUUGGCUUAAACUGAAAUGACGAGAAAAAAUUUGAAGUUACAAAAGUAUAAAUACGGAUGUAAAUGAAAUGUAAAAGAAUGAGAUAUGAACCAGCCCAGCUUUGAUAGAGCUUGUGUUACUUCACAAAGCGUGGUUUCAAAGAGCAUAGUUUUAUCUACAAGCAACGACGACUACAUGCUCGAGCCAAAUCACACGUUACCAACGUCAGGACCCUGGCGAGCAGACAGAUUAGUCGACGCAAAAUUGCAUAUGGAAAAGAUUCUUGAAUUUCCAGAAUCGACCCUCUCCAAAUGUCAACUACAGGACUCCAUGAAUAUUAAGCAUUUACACUAUUUUAAUAAACUGUCGAAGAUGACCUGAAACGCCAGGUAGUAGAGAAUGAAAGAAAUAUGAAGGUCAACUAAUUCGUAUUGAAAAGUUACAAAAAUGAGCCUUACUAAGGACUCUUUAAAAUGGUCUCUGCAGAAUGCAUACCUUAUGAAGUGGGAAUGCUGACCCAACUGAGUAGAAAGGGUGCCCGUCGGUCACAUCCUCCAGAAAACUACUAUGUCAUGAAUGAAAUACCAGGAGAAUCGACAGCCUCCACAUUUCCGCGGCGUGGCUGUGCAAUAUUGCAACCCACUUGGAACGUGUCCAGAAACCAACUCACGCACAUGUACAAAAAAUAGCAUGUACUGCAGGUUUCUCUAUCCAAAAAAUCUCAAAUAAAAAUCAUGCUUCCACGAUCUUAAUCUAAUUCCAACAUUCGCCGCAGCUAAGCCAUUUUGUGGCAAUCAAGGAGCACCACAGCGUUUGUAGGAGCUCAUUUCAGAAGCUGACGCUUGGAACGUUUCACGGAGGAAAAAUGUUGCUGGUAUCUAGGGUGAGACGAGUUCAAACUUCAAAUAUUACAUCCACCCCCAACAUUUGCGUCAUUAUCUCUAAAAGUCUUCUUCGGUAGCAGCGCGAGCUCUCUGAACUUGCAAGCAAGGUAGCCACCGGCACAAAACUCACCAUCUAUAACCUACAGUCCCGCAGAUCUCUUGAGAUGUCUCUUGAAAUCCAUAAUAUCACCAUUCCACCUAGUGAUCGUCUUUUUCUCGCACACCCAGAUCUCUUUGGCAACCUGAUUGAUGAGCCUGAAGUCGUGACUGACAAGAACAAGACCUCCGUCCCACUCGUUAAGAGCCUCAGCAAGAGAAUCAAUAGUUUCAAUAUCCAAAUGAUUAGUUGGCUCAUCCAGAAGGAGCAGAUGGGGUAGUCUCCACGCCAACCACGCAAAAAUAACACGACUUUUCUGCCCAUCAGAGAGAUUGCCCAUAGGCAUAACUUGAGCUUUACCAGUGAGUCCAAAGCGCCCAAUGGCAGACCGCAUCUUCUCUUCCUCGAGGCCAGGGUACUCCGACAUCAUAUACUGAAGUGCUGACAUUUCAAGGGAUAAGGUCUCUGCAAGGUGCUGAUGAUAUUGAGCAAUUCGAAGAUGAUUGUGCCGACGGACCAUACCAUCCAAUGGCUCCAACUCACCAGUCAUGAGUUUUAAGAGAGUACUCUUUCCAGCUCCAUUGGGUCCCACGAGGGCUAUGCGAGAGUCAAGAUCAACGCCAAAGUCAACCUUCUCAUAUAUAAGCUGAUCGGGUGUGUAGCCAAACUUCAGAUCAACAAACUGAAGAACGGGUGGUGGCAGUUUUCCAACAUCCGUAAACCUGAAAGUCAAAACCUUAUCCCUAACAACCUUUUCUGCGAGUCCACCUCUUUCCAUCUUGGCUAGCGUUUUCUCUUUACUUUGAGCUUGACGAGCGAGCUUUGCAGAACCGUGCCCAAAUCGAGCGAUAUAUUCCUUCAUAGCUGAUAUCUGCUCUUGCUCCCAACGAUACUGCUUCAUCUGAUUCUCUUCCAAUUCAGCCCUUGUUUGACAGUACUGAUCAUAAUUUCCUGUGUAAAACUUGAGCUGUUUGUUUUGCAUGUGAAUGAUGUUUGUGCACACACCAUUCAAAAAAUCUUGGGAGUGAGAGACAACAACCAGGAUCCGCUCAAAUUUCUUCAGGGUCUCCUCCAACCACACACAAGCCUCCAAAUCUGGACAAGAGAUCAAUAAUUGGAAAUUAGCGCAAAUUCCAGAAACACAACUCGCAGUCUCCGGAAAGCUGUACGUGCAGAUAACCUGAAAAUGGAGAUCAAAUAAGAGGUGGUAAACGCACCUAAGUGAUUGGUGGGUUCAUCCAGUAGGAGGAUUGUUGGGUUCAUGAACAAAGCACGAGCCAAAGCAAUCCUCAUUCUCCACCCUCCCGAAAAGUCUCGCGUCUUUUUGUUUUGCAUUUUCUUAGUGAAUCCAAGACCAUGCAAGAUCUGGGCUGCCCGCAUUUCUGCUGUGGCAGAGUCCAUGGCCUCCAACCUCUCAUAAAUACGCUCCAAGGGCUCGCCUCCACCGUCAUCCUAUUUACAUUAGACACUGUAAUGUCAAAGACCAAUCGUAACAACAAUUUGUACACAUGUAGAAUGCUGAUCAUGAAUGAUGAAAUUACACCUUAUUGGAUGCCCAAUUUAAAAAAAUGAAGCUGAUACUCACUUGUUGGGAGAGCUUCUCAGCCUCUUUCUCCAGGAGAAGCCUCUCUGAAUCCACAUUCAUGACAGCCUGAAGCGCCGUCAUGUCUGUAGCGUCGAUCUCUCUGGUCAAAUGGUAUAUAUCCAUAUGCUCCGGGAUUGGGACUUCUCGAAGACCGAUAGCGGUCAAAAGCGUAGAUUUUCCACAACCGUUCAGUCCAAGCAAACCGUAUCGUCUGAAAGCGAUGAGAGGAAUGUCAGCUACUGCUUACACUAGGUGAUUCUGGAACUAGUAUCAGCUUUGAUACUAAUCUAACACUCACUUCUUCCAUUCUGUGAUUGCGUUUCCAAGAGGACGAGUAAAUGAGAGAAGUCUCUAACCUUCCGUAAUUCAGUUCCAAAGUUGAGUCUGCCACCAGCUCGUGACCAUGGAAUGUUACAGAUAAGGACUCGAUCUGCGAAAAAACGGAAAAACCAAUGAAUCUUGUGGGGAACCCUCAACAGUAAAAACCAAUCGUCAUCUGAUAUCGCAACAUGACAAAAGAUAGUGAAAGACAUCUCCCUGUCACAAAAAUCGAAUAAUGACACUUCUGCCACUGUUAUGGGUUGACGUACACCUGCAAGAAUAAAUAGGUAACAAAACAACAAACUACGUUCGAACUGAAUAAAUAGUAUUAAAUGGCACAUUUUCAACAUCCAUAAUGUGUCACAACCCCUAAGAAGGCCCUACGCCGUGGAAUCAAAGAAUUCCCUUGACCUGGAGUUUGUAGAAACUUACGUGGAUAUCUCUUGACUGGGCAUGAGAUGCUAGAACACCCGUACAAGUCCGGUCAGUUAUGUUAGCAGCAGCCAACUCUUCCGCCAGGGUGUCCGCAGAGGUACCGUUAGUGACAUCUUUCAGCUUCGUCUGUGCAACAACGGCCGCUGAUUUGGAUCCACGCUUCUCGGCAGCAGCGAGCUUUUUGGCCGCGGCCUUCUUCUUGCUGGCGUCUGACACCAUUGUCUCGUGUGCUAGAAUUCAAACGAGCACAAACUAUGUUCUCCUCACUCCAAAGAUGGAUCUGCGAUUGAGAAGUAAUUCAUCAACCGAUCAAUACACAGGGCACCACCUCCAGUGUAAAACAGAAAAAUGAUAACAAGCAAAUCAGAGCGGGAGUUUAGAGAUGGUUAGAUCUGGUAGAUAAGAUAAAAACAAAAAAAACUAAAACUAAAACUAACAAAACAAAACAAAAAUACAACACAGCUAUACAAGUACAAAAAAGCAGCCACGACCUCGUACCACUACCUUAACCACAUAUGCGUAUACUAUAUAUCAAGGACGAAGAACUGCCCAGUCCAAUGCGAAAUCGGAGAACCGCACGAAAAGACAGGUCUAUUUCGUAAUUCACACAAAACACAUAUCUUAAAAGCAAAUUCCCAAGUGAUAGACUAAACAUCGAUUACCGCCUUCACUUAGAAACUCACAUCAUGUGAUUGAAGUUCACCGACCCAACAAUUCACGCUACGUAUCCGGAAACUCCAACCGGAAAUGCACUGCAGCACCUUACCCUAAACAGCCCCGCAACCACAAACCCCGCCUCGAAAAAAACCUACC